UUGGCUAAGUGCAAGUUCACAUUCUCUUUUGUUUUCUUAUAUAUAUAUGUGAUUACUUAAUCUGAAGACCAUGAUUAAUGAACCAAACUUAAACCCUUGGACAUUGGUCGUUUGUAUUGCUGCAGUGUCAAAUGAAGUGGGACGCAUAUCAUUGUGUGGAUGAUGAGUAUGGUUUACCAUAAGUAAAAUAAAAGGGUCUAUGUACGCUGACCUCACCAUGCUCUAGGUUGUCUUGUUUGAUUUCUUUUGUUGUUGUUGAAAGUUUGUCAUGUUACUUUGUAAUCUUUUGGUCUAGAUAUUGUAUCUUAAUUAUGUUUAAGAUAUGACAAUAGUAACUUAUGAAUCAUCUAUUACUGUGCACGGAGUAAAAUCAUCAAAUGCAUUCUAAUUAUAUAUGCACCGAAUGCAUGCUAAUUUUAUAACCAGUGAGUCCAAAUAAUUAACAUUGUUUUCUAUAUUACAAACUCACAAUUACAAUUCUAAAUAUUACGUGUAUUUUUAUGUUUUAUAUAUAUAUGUGAUUACUUAAUCUGAAGACCAUGAUUAAUGAACCAAACUUAAACCCUUGGACAUUGGUCGUUUGUAUUGCUGCAGUGUCAAAUGAAGUGGGACGCAUAUCAUUGUGUGGAUGAUGAGUAUGGUUUACCAUAAGUAAAAUAAAAGGGUCUAUGUACGCUGACCUCACCAUGCUCUAGGUUGUCUUGUUUGAUUUCUUUUGUUGUUGUUGAAAGUUUGUCAUGUUACUUUGUAAUCUUUUGGUCUAGAUAUUGUAUCUUAAUUAUGUUUAAGAUAUGACAAUAGUAACUUAUGAAUCAUCUUUUACUGUGCACGGAGUAAAAUCAUCAAAUGCAUUCUAAUUAUAUAUGCACCGAAUGCAUGCUAAUUUUAUAACCA
RNAcentral lists this long non-coding RNA (894 nucleotides) under Brassica napus (rape). RNAcentral describes it as "long non-coding RNA (BNAP_LNC002766)". Lineage: Eukaryota; Viridiplantae; Streptophyta; Magnoliopsida; Brassicales; Brassicaceae. The record is from RNAcentral.